GGAGGGAUGUAGGAGUGGAGAAUAGGGUGGAAUAUCUGGAAAUUAGAGCUUGUAAUGUGGGUUCUGGUGAAGAAGGAAGUGUAGUUUCUGUAGUAGAGGGGUUGGAAGAAGAGGGUACUGGAAUUGGGUGUGACUCCAAGGUGAGUUGAAAAAGUGCUUCAACCCGAUCUGUGUUGUGCAAGCGGCGGAGUUGGUGGGCUGAGAUGGGUGAAGGGUUUGGGCCAG
Molecule: long non-coding RNA, 225 nt
Filed under: Vigna radiata
Lineage: Eukaryota; Viridiplantae; Streptophyta; Magnoliopsida; Fabales; Fabaceae
Description: long non-coding RNA (VRAD_LNC003029)
Source: RNAcentral